Molecule: long non-coding RNA, 691 nt
Organism: Perca fluviatilis (European perch)
Lineage: Eukaryota; Metazoa; Chordata; Actinopteri; Perciformes; Percidae
Exons: 3
Source: RefSeq, a predicted model, not a curated record
GCCAAGCCUUUAAGACAGAUGGAUGAUGAUGAAUGGGAUGAGGAGGAUAAAGAUCUGUGAGCAGAGUGACAUGUAGCUUUUGCUUUGAAGAAACACAGAUGACGCCUUUUGGGAAAUUCCCCCAGGACCCAAGAUGGACUCCCUUUGGUCUCAAUUAUACCAGCCUUUGCUUGUGCUUACCUUCUGAAGUCCUGACUAAUACAGCUCUGGACGGUGAUAUGAAAUGAUUACGACUGAUAUGGACACUUAUGGUGCCCACAUUUAUACACAGAAGAGACACAGCUACCUGAAGGUCAAGUGGAAGAGGGGGAGGGGGCUGUCAAUUUCAAAGGACCUUUUGUCAAGUCCUUAUUGAAAUUCAUCAAUGGGCCGCCCUAAGCCUUUUCAGAAAUAAAAUUGUCAUGCUAAUUCAUUUUGAUUGCCACAUUGGAAUGGCUAAACAAAAUGAAUGGUGGGGGCCAGAUGCGUCCGCCGAAGCGUAACUCUGGAUAUUUCAUAGUGAAUUACCCUUGAUCGACUUGCCCCAUGGAUCUUGGUGCAAAUUCUGAUCAAAUGCCCACAUGUGUGGAAUUCCAAUCACUGCUUUGCUAACUCAUUGAUUUGCAUGCCAAAGAGGUACACACUAAAACCCCAAUGAAAAGCAGCACUGCUGACUGGGACUUUGUUUUGUAAAUCGAAGAACAGAGAUUAU